RNAcentral lists this non-coding RNA (30 nucleotides) under Rattus norvegicus (Norway rat). The record is from RNAcentral. Lineage: Eukaryota; Metazoa; Chordata; Mammalia; Rodentia; Muridae.
UGCCUGAUGGAGCAGAACAGAAUAAGGAGA